CUCUGGUGCCGGCAGCUGCAGCAUCAAGCUGAGCUUCGCUGUUUUCCCCGGUGGCCCUGCUGUCAGAAGGGAGUGUCCCCCUGGCAGCGUGGCUCGUAAGACUCAUACGGCUUGCUGUGAAGGGAAAGUACAUUUCUUCCGUUAAUCUCUCGGAGCUGACCACAGUUGCCCUUAUUUUCCUGGAUUCACUUUAUGGCCAAAAGCAUGGGAUGGCGAUUUCCUUCAGUCCUGGAGAUAAAUGAUGCUUUCUGGAGGCAGAGCACUGAGGAUUACUUUUACAGAAAUACAGCACACAAAGUAAAUCCUUGUUAG
Molecule: long non-coding RNA, 312 nt
Filed under: Anser brachyrhynchus (Pink-footed goose)
Lineage: Eukaryota; Metazoa; Chordata; Aves; Anseriformes; Anatidae
Description: lncRNA (ENSABRG00000011202.1)
Source: RNAcentral